CGGGACGGGUGAGUAAUGUCUGGGAAACUGCCCGAUGGAGGGGGAUAACUACUGGAAACGGUAGCUAAUACCGCAUAACGUCGCAAGACCAAAGAGGGGGACCUUCGGGCCUCUUGCCAUCGGAUGUGCCCAGAUGGGAUUAGCUAGUAGGUGGGGUGACGGCUCACCUAGGCGACGAUCCCUAGCUGGUCUGAGAGGAUGACCAGCCACACUGGAACUGAGACACGGUCCAG
Molecule: ribosomal RNA, 233 nt
Filed under: uncultured bacterium
Lineage: Bacteria
Description: partial 16S ribosomal RNA
Rfam family: Bacterial small subunit ribosomal RNA
Source: RNAcentral